GUGCUUGCUUCGGCAGCACAUAUACUAAAAUUGGAACGAUACAGAGAAGAUUAGCAUGGCCCCUGCACAGGCUAAAAUGCUUGCGGUAUAGCUAUACCAACAAGAC
Molecule: small nuclear RNA, 106 nt
Organism: Bombina bombina (fire-bellied toad)
Lineage: Eukaryota; Metazoa; Chordata; Amphibia; Anura; Bombinatoridae
Source: RefSeq, a predicted model, not a curated record